AGUGAACGCUGGCGGUAGGCCUAACACAUGCAAGUCGAACGGCAGCACAGUAAGAGCUUGCUCUUACGGGUGGCGAGUGGCGGACGGGUGAGGAAUACAUCGGAAUCUACUUUUUCGUGGGGGAUAACGUAGGGAAACUUACGCUAAUACCUCAUACGACCUACGGGUUAAAGCAGGGGAUCUUCUGACCUUGCGCGAUUGAAUGAGCCGAUGUCGGAUUAGCUAGUUGGCGGGGUAAAGGCCCACCAAGGCCACGAUCCGUAGCUGGUCUGAGAGGAUGAUCAGCCACACUGGAACUGAGACACGGUCCAGACUCCUACGGGAGGCAGCAGUGGGGAAUAUUGGACAAAGGGCGCAAGCCUGAUCCAGCCAUACCGCGUGAGUGAAGAAGGCCUUCGGGUUGUAAAGCCCUUUUGUUGGGAAAGAAAAGCAGCAGGUUAAUACCCCGCUGUUCUGACGGUACCCAAAGAAUAAGCACCGGCUAACUUCAUG
Molecule: ribosomal RNA, 492 nt
Filed under: uncultured bacterium
Lineage: Bacteria
Description: partial 16S ribosomal RNA
Rfam family: Bacterial small subunit ribosomal RNA
Source: RNAcentral